GUGGAUUAGAUACCCUAGUAGUCCAUGCCGUAAACGUUGGGCACUAGGUGUGGGGGACAUUCCACGUUUUCCGCGCCGUAGCUAACGCAUUAAGUGCCCCGCCUGGGGAGUACGGCCGCAAGGCUAAAACUCAAAGGAAUUGACGGGGGCCCGCACAAGCGGCGGAGCAUGCGGAUUAAUUCGAUGCAACGCGAAGAACCUUACCAAGGCUUGACAUGGACUGGAUCGCAUCAGAGAUGGUGUUUCCCUUCGGGGCUGGUUCACAGGUGGUGCACGGUCUCGUCAGCU
Molecule: ribosomal RNA, 288 nt
Filed under: uncultured bacterium
Lineage: Bacteria
Description: partial 16S ribosomal RNA
Rfam family: Bacterial small subunit ribosomal RNA
Source: RNAcentral